UAAUAAAUUAAUUCCGAUCGAGAUUCUUUUUUUUUUUUUUUUUCUAAAGAGUGACCAAUAGUAAAAUAUUAAACUAGAUCACGUUUAUUUUUAAAAUAUCUAUUCGAUGUAAUCUUGAUUUUCUCGAGGUUAAGACACAUAACCGGAUUUCAUUAGACGAAUUUUUAUAUUUAAAAAGAAAAAAGUCACUUUUUGUUCGAAAUUGUUUGCUUUUUCAUAACGUGUAAAUGUUAUUUGUUUCAAUAAUUUACGCUUUCAACAUUUUAGCAUUGAGAGAAUCGAUCGCUCAAAAAUAUUAAUCAAAUAAAGGAAAAAUACUAUAAAUCGUCGACGUAUCGAAAAAAGAAAAGACUCGAUAUUAAUCGAUACAAACCGUCUCGAGUAGAUCAAUGACAUGGCAUCGAUUUUCUCGAUUGUCAAUGAAGAUCGCGGUCGAUGACACGGAACAAAACAAGAUGAUCGCAUCGAGAAUCGAUAUUAACGAUACUGCAUAGAGAAGCGAUUCCGUGAUCUUCGUUUUCGCAUAGAAGAAAAAUGAGAGAAACAGAAAGAACUCGAUAAAUUCAAAUCGUUGGAGAUACAAGUAUCCUCGAUUUUAUCGCUGAUCCCAACUCUUCUUUCCAGUUUUAGCGUGUCAUAAGAAGCUUUCUUACCUCAUCUCCGGUGUUGGCGAAUGCUGGUCCCACGGGUCUCUUGCUGGGGCCCAUGGGAUAUGCGGAACAGCGGGGUGCGGAGAUAUGCGAACGCGGAGGUCACCAUUGACGCAAAUCCAUUUGACGGUCACGUGACCGGCCGCACCAACCUGAACACAAUGCGCGCGGACGCCACGACAGCACCACCUUUCAUCAAAUCCUCUCCUCCGCUCCUGUUUGCAACCGUAAAUACACGGUGAGAACAAUUAUAUAGAACUCGAUCCAUCCACGAAAAUAAUAUGCAAUUAAAGAGUUAAGGAUGAAUCGUUUAUCGAAUGCCAAUCAAAAUACAUACCUGCGUGAUA
Molecule: long non-coding RNA, 997 nt
Organism: Apis dorsata (giant honeybee)
Lineage: Eukaryota; Metazoa; Arthropoda; Insecta; Hymenoptera; Apidae
Exons: 2
Source: RefSeq, a predicted model, not a curated record